RNAcentral lists this long non-coding RNA (628 nucleotides) under Cavia porcellus (domestic guinea pig). RNAcentral's name for it is "lncRNA (ENSCPOG00000031976.1)". Lineage: Eukaryota; Metazoa; Chordata; Mammalia; Rodentia; Caviidae. The record is from RNAcentral.
GGCAGAUGAGGACACACGGUGAUGUAUUUAUGAGGCUGCCUUCCCGCCGGGUAGCACUUGGGAGCAGGAUUUACUGCAUUUUUUUAAAAACAUACUUUGUAAAGAUAUGCACAAAAGAGGACAACCUGCUUCAGGAGGUGACUGAAUGGUGGGCGUGUUCGAACCAAGGAUCAAGUGAGACCUACAGAAAUCUCUGCAUUGGUUCUCAGCUCCCCUUCCUGCUCCUGCACGAGCACAGGCUGCUUCCUGUGCCUGGAAUGACCUCCCUGUAACCCUGCUUUGCCUGGAAAAGCCUGGUCAUCCUUCAGCACAAAGUUCUACUGUUAGGUCCCCCGGAAGAGCAGCAGCAGGGGCGUCUGCACACUCCGUUACCCUCCAAGGCUGUUCAGUGAUUUCCAGUCAAAGGGCGCUGGAGACACCCUGGCGAUCAAUCAACUGAGGGCUCGUUCAGUUAAGGAAGACUAUACCCAAUGGGGUGCCUGCCUCAAUGUUCAGAAGAAAUUAUGAUAAGAACUGGACUUCAGUGGGGUAAGGAUCUAAGAAGGUUUGCUGCAGGAUGGUUAUCAUCAGAAAGUCAGGUUUCUGCAAUUGAGGAUUUCACGGGUGGCAUGGUGACCUUAUUUUUUUC